GUGGAGCUUGCUCCAUGAUUCAGCGGCGGACGGGUGAGUAAUGCCUAGGAAUCUGCCUGGUAGUGGGGGACAACGUUUCGAAAGGAACGCUAAUACCGCAUACGUCCUACGGGAGAAAGCAGGGGACCUUCGGGCCUUGCGCUAUCAGAUGAGCCUAGGUCGGAUUAGCUAGUUGGUGGGGUAAAGGCCUACCAAGGCGACGAUCCGUAACUGGUCUGAGAGGAUGAUCAGUCACACUGGAACUGAGACACGGUCCAGACUCCUACGGGAGGCAGCAGUGGGGAAUAUUGGACAAUGGGCGAAAGCCUGAUCCAGCCAUGCCGCGUGUGUGAAGAAGGUCUUCGGAUUGUAAAGCACUUUAAGUUGGGAGGAAGGGCAGUAAGUUAAUACCUUGCUGUUUUGACGUUACCAACAGAAUAAGCACCGGCUAACUUCGUGCCAGCAGCCGCGGUAAUACGAAGGGUGCAAGCGUUAAUCGGAAUUACUGGGCGUAAAGCGCGCGUAGGUGGUUUGGUAAGAUGGAUGUGAAAUCCCCGGGCUCAACCUGGGAACUGCAUCCAUAACUGCCUGACUAGAGUACGGUAGAGGGUGGUGGAAUUUCCUGUGUAGCGGUGAAAUGCGUAGAUAUAGGAAGGAACACCAGUG
Molecule: ribosomal RNA, 645 nt
Filed under: Pseudomonas sp. ERR560
Lineage: Bacteria; Pseudomonadati; Pseudomonadota; Gammaproteobacteria; Pseudomonadales; Pseudomonadaceae
Description: bacterial SSU rRNA
Rfam family: Bacterial small subunit ribosomal RNA
Source: RNAcentral